This 998-nucleotide ribosomal RNA is filed under the name uncultured bacterium. RNAcentral describes it as "bacterial SSU rRNA". It matches the Rfam family "Bacterial small subunit ribosomal RNA", at positions 355 to 1375 of the family's 1533-position model. The record is from RNAcentral.
UGGGGAAUAUUGCACAAUGGGGGAAACCCUGAUGCAGCGACGCCGCGUGAAGGAAGAAGUAUCUCGGUAUGUAAACUUCUAUCAGCAGGGAAGAUAAUGACGGUACCUGACUAAGAAGCCCCGGCUAACUACGUGCCAGCAGCCGCGGUAAUACGUAGGGAGCAAGCGUUAUCCGGAUUUACUGGGUGUAAAGGGUGCGUAGGCGGCUUGGUAAGUCAGAUGUGAAAUGUAUGGGCUCAACCCAUGCACUGCAUUUGAAACUAUUGAGCUUGAGUGAAGUAGAGGUAGGCGGAAUUCCCUGUGUAGCGGUGAAAUGCGUAGAGAUAGGGAGGAACACCAGUGGCGAAGGCGGCCUACUGGGCUUUAACUGACGCUGAGGCACGAAAGCGUGGGUAGCAAACAGGAUUAGAUACCCUGGUAGUCCACGCUGUAAACGAUGAUUACUAGGUGUGGGGGGUCUGACCCCUUCCGUGCCGGAGUUAACACAAUAAGUAAUCCACCUGGGGAGUACGACCGCAAGGUUGAAACUCAAAGGAAUUGACGGGGGCCCGCACAAGCAGUGGAGUAUGUGGUUUAAUUCGAAGCAACGCGAAGAACCUUACCAGGUCUUGACAUCCUUCUGACCGGUCCUUAACCGGACCUUUCCUUCGGGACAGGAGAGACAGGUGGUGCAUGGUUGUCGUCAGCUCGUGUCGUGAGAUGUUGGGUUAAGUCCCGCAACGAGCGCAACCCUUGCUAUUAGUUGCUACGCAAGAGCACUCUAAUAGGACUGCCGUUGACAAAACGGAGGAAGGUGGGGACGACGUCAAAUCAUCAUGCCCCUUAUGACCUGGGCUACACACGUACUACAAUGGCAAUGAACAGAGGGAAGCAAUACAGUGAUGUGGAGCAAAUCCCCAAAAAUAACGUCUCAGUUCAGAUUGUAGGCUGCAACUCGCCUACAUGAAGUCGGAAUUGCUAGUAAUCGCAGAUCAGCAUGCUGCGGUGAAUACGUUCCC